AUUGAACGCUGGCGGCAGGCUUAACACAUGCAAGUCGAGCGGAGUGAUGGUGCUUGCACUAUCACUUAGCGGCGGACGGGUGAGUAAUGCUUAGGAAUCUGCCUAUUAGUGGGGGACAACAUCUCGAAAGGGAUGCUAAUACCGCAUACGUCCUACGGGAGAAAGCAGGGGAUCACUUGUGACCUUGCGCUAAUAGAUGAGCCUAAGUCGGAUUAGCUAGUUGGUGGGGUAAAGGCCUACCAAGGCGACGAUCUGUAGCGGGUCUGAGGGGAUGAUCCGCCACACUGGGACUGCGACACGGCCCAGACUCCUACGGGAGGCAGCAGUGGGGAAUAUUGGACAAUGGGGGGAACCCUGAUCCAGCCAUGCCGCGUGUGUGAAGAAGGCCUUAUGGUUGUAAAGCACUUUAAGCGAGGAGGAGGCUCUUUUGGUUAAUACCCAAGAUGAGUGGACGUUACUCGCAGAAUAAGCACCGGCUAACUCUGUGCCAGCCGCCGCGGUAA
Molecule: ribosomal RNA, 503 nt
Filed under: uncultured bacterium
Lineage: Bacteria
Description: partial 16S ribosomal RNA
Rfam family: Bacterial small subunit ribosomal RNA
Source: RNAcentral